RNAcentral lists this transfer RNA (72 nucleotides) under Actinosynnema mirum DSM 43827. It matches the Rfam family "tRNA". From Rfam's summary of the family: Transfer RNA (tRNA) molecules are approximately 80 nucleotides in length. Their secondary structure includes four short double-helical elements and three loops (D, anti-codon, and T loops). Further hydrogen bonds mediate the characteristic L-shaped molecular structure. tRNAs have two regions of fundamental functional importance: the anti-codon, which is responsible for specific mRNA codon recognition, and the 3' end, to which the tRNAs corresponding amino acid is attached (by aminoacyl-tRNA synthetases). tRNAs cope with the degeneracy of the genetic code in two manners: having more than one tRNA (with a specific anti-codon) for a particular amino acid; and 'wobble' base-pairing, i.e. permitting non-standard base-pairing at the 3rd anti-codon position. Lineage: Bacteria; Bacillati; Actinomycetota; Actinomycetes; Pseudonocardiales; Pseudonocardiaceae. The record is from Rfam by way of RNAcentral.
GGGGUCGUAGCGCAGAGGCAGUCGCACCGCACCGCCAGUGCGGAGGACGCGGGUUCGAAUCCCGCCACCCCG